This 253-nucleotide ribosomal RNA is filed under the name uncultured bacterium. Its description in RNAcentral is "partial 16S ribosomal RNA". It matches the Rfam family "Bacterial small subunit ribosomal RNA", at positions 524 to 776 of the family's 1533-position model. The record is from RNAcentral.
UACAGAGGCCUCGAGCGUUAGGCGGAAUCACUGGGCUUAAAGCGUGUGUAGGCGGAUGCCUAAGUGCUUUGUGAAAUCCCACGGCUCAACCGUGGAAUUGCUUGGCAUACUGGGUGUCUUGAGCCAUCUAGGGGCGAGCGGAACAAGUGGUGGAGCGGUGAAAUUCGUAGAUAUCGAGAAGAACACCGGUGGCGAAGGCGGCCAUCUGGACAGAUACUGACGCUGAGACGCGAAAGCGUGGGGAGCAAACAGG